Molecule: ribosomal RNA, 508 nt
Filed under: uncultured bacterium
Lineage: Bacteria
Description: partial 16S ribosomal RNA
Rfam family: Bacterial small subunit ribosomal RNA
Source: RNAcentral
GACGAACGCUGGCGGCGUGCCUAAUACAUGCAAGUCGAACGCUUCUUUCCUCCCGAGUGCUUGCACUCAAUUGGAAAGAGGAGUGGCGGACGGGUGAGUAACACGUGGGUAACCUACCCAUCAGAGGGGGAUAACACUUGGAAACAGGUGCUAAUACCGCAUAACAGUUUAUGCCGCAUGGCAUAAGAGUGAAAGGCGCUUUCGGGUGUCGCUGAUGGAUGGACCCGCGGUGCAUUAGCUAGUUGGUGAGGUAACGGCUCACCAAGGCCACGAUGCAUAGACGAACUGAGAGGGUGAUCGCCCACCCUGGGGCUGAGACACGGCCCAGACGCCUACGGGAGGCAGCAGUAGGGAAUCUGCGGCAAUGGACGAGAGUCUGACAGAGCAACGCCGCGUGAGUGAAGGAGGUUUUCGGAUCGUAAAAAUCUGUUGUUAGAGAAGAACAAGGACGUCAGUAACUGAACGUCCCCUGACGGUAUCUAACCAGAAAGCCACGGCUAACUACGUG